This 442-nucleotide ribosomal RNA is filed under the name uncultured bacterium. RNAcentral's name for it is "partial 16S ribosomal RNA". It matches the Rfam family "Bacterial small subunit ribosomal RNA", at positions 338 to 795 of the family's 1533-position model. The record is from RNAcentral.
CCUACGGGUGGCAGCAGUGGGGAAUAUUGGGCAAUGGGCGCAAGCCUGACCCAGCAACGCCGCGUGAAGGAAGAAGGCUUUCGGGUUGUAAACUUCUUUUAAGGGGGAAGAGCAGAAGACGGUACCCCUUGAAUAAGCCACGGCCAACUACGUGCCAGCAGCCGCGGUAAUACGUAGGUGGCAAGCGUUGUCCGGAUUUACUGGGUGUAAAGGGCGUGCAGCAGGAGAGACAAGUCAGAUGUGAAAUCCAAGGGCUCAACCCGUGUACUGCAUGUGAAACUGUUUGCCUUGAGUGUCGGAGAGGUAAUCGGAAUUCCUUGUGUAGCAGUGAAAUGCGUAGAUAUAAGGAAGAACACCAGUGGCGAAGGCGGAUUACUGGACGAUAACUGACGGUGAGGCGCGAAAGCGUGGGGAGCAAACAGGAUUAGAUACCCUUGUAGUC